AAACGGGUACCGAGAAGGAUCUACUGCCUUCACACGCGCUCCUUUUAACUUAAAACACUGCUUUCACCUUAAAAGAGAAACAAGAGGAACACACGGACGCCAGAAAGAGAAUGACGGAAACGGAGGGGUCAUCUCCAGCAGGGUCCGAAUCCUCAGAUGGAACCACAGGCCACCAGGCCAGCACAGGGGCCUCCGGGAGGGUCCGCCCUGCUCCACGGCCGCAGGGCAGGUCAACAGUGUCCAAGCAAGGACGGUCCCAGGAUCAUCCACAGAAGGAAACUGGCAGCAGGCCCUCCACACAUGACCAAGGAAUCUGCAGUCCGCUAAGCGGGGAGGGCGCUGCCCACGUCAAUCUACACAGAAAAGCACCCCUAGAGGAGCCAGCCUCAAAGGAAGCGCAGAGGA
Molecule: long non-coding RNA, 405 nt
Filed under: Homo sapiens (human)
Lineage: Eukaryota; Metazoa; Chordata; Mammalia; Primates; Hominidae
Description: HSALNT0395576
Source: RNAcentral